GCUCGUGUCGUGAGAUGUUGGUUAAGUCCCGCAACGAGCGCAACCCUUGUUCUUAGUUGCCAUCAGGUAAUGCUGGGCACUCUAAGGAUACUGCCGGUGACAAACCGGAGGAAGGUGGGGAUGACGUCAAAUCAUCAUGCCCUUUAUGACCUGGGCUACACACGUGCUACAAUAGCCUAUACAAAGGGUUGCGAAGCUGUGAAGUGGAGCCAAUCCCAAAAAAGUAGGUCUCAGUUCGGAUUGUAGGCUGCAACUCGCCUACAUGAAGUCGGAAUCGCUAGUAAUCGCGGAUCAGCAUGCCGCGGUGAAUACGUUCCCGGGCCUU
This 325-nucleotide ribosomal RNA is filed under the name uncultured Peptococcaceae bacterium. Its description in RNAcentral is "bacterial SSU rRNA". It matches the Rfam family "Bacterial small subunit ribosomal RNA", at positions 1058 to 1382 of the family's 1533-position model. The record is from RNAcentral. Lineage: Bacteria; Bacillati; Bacillota; Clostridia; Eubacteriales; Peptococcaceae.